Long non-coding RNA from Passer domesticus (house sparrow), 3105 nucleotides. RefSeq lists it as uncharacterized. The record is from RefSeq and is a predicted model, not a curated record. Lineage: Eukaryota; Metazoa; Chordata; Aves; Passeriformes; Passeridae. The transcript is spliced from 4 exons.
GCUGGCUGUGGGUUUGUUGGCUGUGCUGAGCUGAUGGAGGCUUAGGUGGGUGUGUGAGGGAGAGGAAUAAGUUGGUUGGUCCUGCAGAAGGAAGAAGUCAGUGCUGUGUGGAGCUGCCCAUAGGAAACUCAGAGAGAGAAGGCAUGAUCUGAGAAUAAAAGCAUCUGUUUUCAGAAAUGGAGACUGUUUUGUUUUAUUAAGCUGUGGUAAUUAUCCUGUAUAAGUCCACUGGUUCAAAGCUCCUGAUGUAACCUCUGAGAGAUAAUAAAGUUGGAUACAUUCUGCCAUGGAGAAGCACAAUGGGGUUAUCAGAGAGCAAGAAGUUGCCCAACUGUGGCUCAGUGACUUAAGAGCUGGGAUAAAAAGUUCCAGACCAGGUUCACAGAAGGUAGAUGUGGCAAAUUGAGCUGACUUGGAAGAAAAGAGAUUUUUAUGGAUGGAAUGCAGAGCUUCUACAUGACUGCAGCGAAGCAGGUGAUGUGGAGAUUGAUGGAUCCACUGAAAGAUGGAUAAAGUAUGAUUCAAGGAGAAACCUGUACUGAUAGGAACCUAUUGGUGUUCUGCGAUGUUCAUGUUAUUUACUUUUGUCAUUCAACAGGCUUGGCACACUGAAGUAUGUUACAAGGUUAGGAGGCAAGACUAACAUGCCAGACGUGCAAGUUAUUGUUACAAGGGUUGUGCUGGAGUAUCUGAAAUAGAUUCAUUUUCUAUACAUUCCCAGUGCAAGGCUAUAGCUAAGGGGAUCUGUUCUGCUGAGGGUAUUGGAAGAGAAACCAGGGGGAGCUGAUCACCAGGAAAUGAGCAUGGAGAGAAUUGAUUAUAUAAUAUCUGAGUGUUGUCACAGGACACCUGACAUACACUUGUGGAACAUGUGUAUGGUUCUGGUGAAGUUUUCCCAGCAAAAGACGUAGAAAUAUUUCUGCUGUUUAAAGGAUGUGAAUUACACCUUGUCUUGAAUGCCACUUAUAGUUCUGAUUGUCCAUCUUCAAAAGAAAUUAAACCAGUAAAAGGAUUGCAGUACACUGCCAGUACCUAAACGGGCCUGCAAGAGAGCUGGAGGACUUCAUAGAAGGACCUGUAAUGGCAGGACAAAGUAAUAGUUGAAAGAGGGUAGAUUUAGAUUAGAUAUAAGGAAGGAAUUCUUCUCUGUGAGGGUGGUGAGACACUGGCACAGGAUGCCCAAAAAAGUUGUGGAUGCCCCAUUACUGGAAGUGUUCAAGGCCAGGUUGGAUGGGUUUUUGAGCAACCUCGUCUAGAGAAAGGUGUCCCUGCCUGCGGCAGAAGGGUUGAAACUAGAUGAUCUUUCAGGUGUCUUCCAACCCAAACUACUCUGAUUUUGUUAUUGCUGGGAUGACUGCGGAAAUGGAAAGCAUUCUUAUCAGAAAAUACUUAGAAAACUGUGUUUAUUCCAGCAAAGUCAGUCUAAUUUGAGGAGGGCUAUAAUUGCUCUUAUAAAUACAUCAGGGAGAUUCAAGAGCUGUUUCAGAUGAAGUACAGUGCUGGUGCAAGAGGAAAGGGAUAUGAAAUAGCCUUGAAUAAAUUCAGAUUAGAAUUAAACAGAGGCUUAAAUUGUCUGAGAAAACAGCUUCUGAAACAGAAUUUCUAAAGGAGUACUGGGAGUUAAAUUUAAUUGAUUUAAAACAGAAACUAGUUUAUUUUAAGAAGAGCUUAUACUACAUAAUGCUUGUGAUUGCUCAGGAUUGGAUUCCCUUUGAUAAUUAAGAAGAUGCCUUGCUUGUGAUACCUUGCCUUUCACAAGCUCCCUCCUGGUGUAUGACUACAUUCCCACAUUGUGAUUCUGCCAUAUCAGUAAUUCUGAUGGGGAGGAAGGAAGGAAAAGAGUGAUUAGUAGCAAAACUUUCUAUUAGUACCAGCCUCCAAACCUGAGUGUCAAUAAGUAGUAACAGAUUCUGGUUUUGGGGGAAGUCUUGAAAUAUGCCUUUGCCAGCAUGUCCCAGAAAUCUAAUUUUAAUGAUUGACAUACCUAUAGCAUUAGCACUUUAUAACAUGUUUCAAUUAUCUUGAAUUACACUCAAUUCCAAAUUAAAUGCUAAUAAAAAUAAUAUAAAAACCUUGUAAAACCUCAAAUAGCUGACAAGGUCACAAAAGUUUCUGCAUAUGUGCUUUACAGUAGAAGUAUCAAAUAAUUGGCUACCAGAAUUUUCCUGCUUUCUACAGUGAGAACUACCCAGCUGAUACAACUUUAGAAUUUCUGGAUCAAAGUUCCAGCACACCCAUAGGCGAUGAGUGCAAAUUCCACACUUUCUCUCUGUUGCACUCUAUCUUUCCAGCCAUGUUUCUUAGGGUCUCCAGCCAAAGCAGACUUUUCCUUUGACGUUACUGUAAAUGUCAUGUUCAUGGUCUUUACUCCUUUGGUUCUAAAAAAACUAAAUGUCCUUUAGAACAGCUAAGCACAGUCUUCUACCUGCUUGGGAAACCCCAGGUUUCCCAAUCUCCUCCUGUGUUGGAUAUUGCUAAAUUAGGAGUGACUUGUUAAUGUACAAUAGCAUACAAAUCUGUUUGCUACCACAGGAGCUUAUGUUCGUGCUUUGGCCCCAAAAUACACAGAACACUGGUUUUUGCAUAAAUAUCUUCACUGCCAACCAUUUCGUGAACAUGCAGCUGAAUAAGAUUUGAACACUGCUGUUUUGAUGAAGACAACAUAACACCUUUGAGCUAGUGAUGUAUUUGGGGGGGACUCCUGCCCCGAGAGUCUUAAUGAAAAAUAAAGUGGUAUAACUUUUUAUAUUUAAGUUAUUUAUACAUGUUAAAGAUGUAUUUGAACAUUAAAGUCUCUGUCAGAUAGAUAUGAAUGGAUAUUUGUUAUUUGUUUAAGGAAAACUUUGCAAUAACUCUCAGACUCUGUAGGCACAAAGAAAAUCAAUGUCACUGUAAAAAAUGUAAACCUCCUUUGGAUUGAGUACUGGUUUAAUACUACUUUUUCUAUCUAAUAUGUUGCUUAUCUAUUCAAAACUGUGAAGAACUGGAGGUCUAUCUACUACAAAUACUACUGCGUAUAGAAACUUUGAGAAAUCAGUAUUUUCACAGUACUGAAAACUAGAACAUUGAGAGAGCUUGAUUUUGUGCUGUUUGCUUUCUACCUUA